UGCUUCCUACGGGAGGCAGCAGUGGGGAAUAUUGCACAAUGGGGGAAACCCUGAUGCAGCAACGCCGCGUGGGUGAAGGAGCGUUUCGGCGCGUAAUGCCCUGUCAGCGGGGAAGAAGAAAGACGGUACCCGACCAAGAAGCCCCGGCUAACUACGUGCCAGCAGCCGCGGUAAUACGUAGGGGGCGAGCGUUAUCCGGAAUUACUGGGUGCAAAGGGAGCGUAGACGGCGAGGUAAGCCUGAAGUGGAAGCCCGCGGCCCAACCGCGGAACUGCCUUGG
RNAcentral lists this ribosomal RNA (280 nucleotides) under uncultured bacterium. RNAcentral describes it as "partial 16S ribosomal RNA". It matches the Rfam family "Bacterial small subunit ribosomal RNA", at positions 333 to 629 of the family's 1533-position model. The record is from RNAcentral.